GACGAACGCUGGCGGCGUGCUUAACACAUGCAAGUCGAACGGAAAGGCCAGUGCUUGCACUGGUACUCGAGUGGCGAACGGGUGAGUAACACGUGGGUGAUCUGCCUUGCACUCUGGGAUAAGCUCGGGAAACUGGGGCUAAUACCGGAUAUGAACUGCUGCUAGUGGGGGGGGUGGAGAGUUUUUUCGGUGCAAGAUGAGCUCGCGGCCUAUCAGCUUGUUGGUGGGGUAGUGGCCUACCAAGGCGUCGACGGGUAGCCGGCCUGAGAGGGUGUACGGCCACAUUGGGACUGAGAUACGGCCCAGACUCCUACGGGAGGCAGCAGUGGGGAAUAUUGCACAAUGGGCGGAAGCCUGAUGCAGCAACGCCGCGUGGGGGAUGACGGCCUUCGGGUUGUAAACUGCUUUCGACAGGGACGAAGCGUGAGUGACGGUACCUGUAAAAGAAGCACCGGCUAACUACGUG
This 466-nucleotide ribosomal RNA is filed under the name uncultured bacterium. Its description in RNAcentral is "partial 16S ribosomal RNA". It matches the Rfam family "Bacterial small subunit ribosomal RNA", at positions 28 to 507 of the family's 1533-position model. The record is from RNAcentral.